AGAAAUUUCUAUGGAUUUUAUUGAUGGCCUACCGAAUUCCAGUGGCAAGACUACCAUAUUUGUGGUCGUGGAUAGACUUUCAAAAUAUGCCCAUUUUGUUCCCAUUUCCCAUCCUUAUACUGCUGUGACUAUUGCUCAAGUAUUUUUUGAUCACAUAUUUAAGUUCCAUGGAAUGCCACUGUCCAUUGUGUGCGAUCGUGAUCCAGCUUUUACUAGUUCAUUUUGGAGGGAAUUGUUUGAGCUCAAUGGUACUCGGUUCAAUUUCAGUUCUGCUUAUCACCCACAAACCGAUGGGCAGACAGAGGUGGUAAACCGAACAUUGGAGAUGUAUCUCAGAUGUUUUACAAGUUCCAAACCCAAAUUAUGGACUAAGUGGCUGUCGUGGGCGGAAUAUUGUUAUAAUACAAGUGUUCAUUCUGUCACCAGAAAAACUCCAUUUGAGGUAGUUUAUGGGAGACCUCCACCUGUAUUGCUUUCAUAUGUUACAGGAACAGCUAAGGUUGCGGCAGUCGAACAAGAGCUGGUUGACCGUGAUGCUGUGAUUCAAGAACUCAAGGAAAAAAUACAGCGGGCCCAAAAUCGAAUGAAGCAAGUCUAUGACUUAAAGCACCAAGAGAGAGAAUUUGCUGUGGGUGAUUUAGUGUUCCUCAGACUGCAUCCUUACAAGCAGAGGACUCUUGCUUUGAGAAAGAGUUACAAAUUAGCGGCCAAGUAUUAUGGGCCCUUCAAGGUAUUACAGAGAAUUGGUGCUGUUGCCUAUAAAUUGGAACUGCCGGCCGGAACCAAGGUACACCCUGUGUUUCAUGUAUCUCUUCUCAAGAAGCAUGUUGGAACUAAAAGCACAAUACAGCAGCAGUUGCCAUUCUUGGAUGAUGGUGGUGAAUUAAUUCCGCAACCAGAAGCUAUUUUAGACAGCAGAACCAAAAGGAGGAAGCGAGAAGUCUUGAUUCAGUGGCACAAUUUAUCUCCAGCUGAGGCAACUUGGGAGGAAUUAAGUAAGAUUAAACAGAAAUUUCCAGAUGCUUCUCUUGUGGACAAGAGAGUUGUUUAAGGGGAGGGGAAUGUCACGUGACCCUUUCUACUCUUUGAAUAAGUCUAAGUAAUUGAUUUUUUGUUUUAUUUGUUAAUUAGUUGCCCUUUUUGCUGCUGUUGACUAGCAGAGUUUACUUCCAUGUAAAUAGCUAUUCUGUUAGCUAUACUGCUAUUUAAGUGAAUGAAUAAUCAAGUCCAAGGCAGGGAGAAAUAACUUAAACGUUCUUUUGACGUUGAGGCCUUGGUUUCCUCCAUUAAACCU
RNAcentral lists this unclassified non-coding RNA (1294 nucleotides) under Hevea brasiliensis (rubber tree). The record is from RNAcentral. Lineage: Eukaryota; Viridiplantae; Streptophyta; Magnoliopsida; Malpighiales; Euphorbiaceae.